RNAcentral lists this ribosomal RNA (1029 nucleotides) under Seinura sp. FH-2020. RNAcentral's name for it is "SSU rRNA". It matches the Rfam family "Eukaryotic small subunit ribosomal RNA", at positions 471 to 1532 of the family's 1831-position model. The record is from RNAcentral. Lineage: Eukaryota; Metazoa; Nematoda; Chromadorea; Rhabditida; Aphelenchidae.
CGAGAAAUAACGAGAUCGUUCUCUUUGAGGUCGAUCAUUGGAAUGAGUACAAUCCAGACACUUUAACGAGUAUCUACGAGAGGGCAAGUCUGGUGCCAGCAGCCGCGGUAAUUCCAGCUCUCGUAAGGUAUAGAAUUAUUGCUGUGGUUAAAAAGUUCGUAGUUGGAUUUGCAAGUUGGUGAAAGUCCACUCUAACGAGUGCGUACUCUUUGCCUUCAUUUUGUUGACAUGGGUGCAGGUCGGCUUCGGUUGGCUUGUGCUCGGUUAGCAGGAUUACUUUGAACGGCUCAAGUGCUUAAAGCACGUCUUAUGACUGAAUACCGGUGCAUGGAAUAAUGGAAAAAGGCUACGGCCGAGUUUUAUUGGUUUUAUCGGUUGAAGCAAUGGUUAAAAGGAACAACCGGGGGCAUUCGUAUCGCUACGCGAGAGGUGAAAUUCGUGGACCGUAGCGAGACGCCCAAAAGCGAAGGCACUUGCCAAGAGUGUUUUCAUUAAUCAAGAACGAAAGUCAGAGGUUCGAAGGCGAUUAGAUACCGCCCUAGUUCUGACCGUAAACGAUGCCAACUGUCGAUUCGCUUGUGGAUUUCAUUCAUGAGCGAGGAGGUUCCCGGAAACGAAAGUUUUUCGGUUCCGGGGGAAGUAUGGUUGCAAAGCUGAAACUUAAAGGAAUUGACGGAAGGGCACCACCAGGAGUGGAGCUUGCGGCUUAAUUUGACUCAACACGGGAAAUCUCACCCGGCCAGUACAUUGUAAGGAUUGACAGACUGAUAGCUCUUUCAUGAUUCGGUGAAUGGUGGUGCAUGGCCGUUCUUAGUUCGUGGGCUGGCCUGUCUGGUUUAUUCCGAUAACGAGCGAGACUUUAACUACUAAAUAGUGCGCAAAUUUGCCUUGUGCAUGUUGGUGAUCACUUCUUAGAAGAAUUGGGGGUUUCCAACCUCAAGAGAUUGAGCAAUAACAGGUCUGUGAUGCCCUUAGAUGUUCGGGGCCGCACGCGUGCUACAAUGAUGGUAACAGCGUGAUUGUCCUUUU